UAAAGUUAUUAAAAAUAAAAUAAUCCCAGAAAAAUAAUUAAAAUGGCCUUAUUACAACCCAAAACCAAACAAUAAUAUUAAUAAGAUAAAACUUAUAAAGAAAUAAAUCGGCUACUAAUUGCAAUUAAAAGAAACAAAAACAGUAGUGUGGCCAUCUCCGAGUCCCUCGCAGCUCCAAACCAUCUAAGCUUAGGGAUUACCUGCACAGUUAGAAACGGGGUGAGUUUACGAAAACUCAAUGUGUAAUCCCAAUAACAAACAAACAGUGAAAACACAGUAUCAGUACAAUCUGGGUCAAAGCCCUAUUUAGUCUUGACAUAUACUGGGCUGAAGCCUUUCGUUUAACGAUUACUGCGCCGAAGCCUUUUCAUAAAUCAUAUCACUGGGCCAAAGCCUUUUCAUAAAUCAUUUCACUGGGCCGAAGCCUUUACUAUAAACGGUAUGGCCCAUAGGCGAAUUUCAAUAUCACAUGUAAUGUCAAUGGAUGUAUGCAAGCCCAUUUCAAUAUCACGUGAAAUACCAAUGAAUGUAUGCAAGCCCAUUUGGGGAGACUACUCAACCCACCAUUCGCUACUCUCCACUCGUACCAACCAACACACCAUGUGGGGAAUAACUCAACCCACCCAACCAACAUACCACUGGUAGCAUAGCUGCUUUAUCAUAUAUCUGGAGGCCUAGCCUCUUUAAUAACUGGGGCAAAGCCCUUUUCGGUAAACUGGGGCAUAAGCCCUUUUCAAUAAACUGGGGCAUAAACCCUUUUCGGUAAACUGGGGCAUAAGCCCUUUUCGGUAAACUGGGGCAUAAGCCCUUUUGCACUUCCUCCAUCCAUAUAAAAACCCAACCCAAUGCAACAUGUCAUGUAUGCAGAAUGUCAUGCCCAUAUUUGAAUUAAACAAUCACAGUCAAGUCAUUCAUAUCACCAACAUAUAUUCACAAUCAAAUCCGUCAACCACACAGUCCAAGUCAGUCACUUGCCCACAAGGGCACAACAGUCAUUUUUCACAUUAUAAGGGUAUUGUCGUAAUUUUACCAACUAUCAGGGUUUUUCAUGUUCAUUACAAUUAUCAAUAUUUCCGAGUGUUUAAACAAUGAUAUUUAACCCACUUUAUCAAAUUCGGGCUUUUGGGCCCAAAACCCGUAAUAGGCCCUACGAAUGCUGAUUUAGCCUACUGAACCCAAGAUUUCUCCAACACUUCUCAAAGCCAUUAACCACUAAAGCAAACAUUUAAUUGUUUCAUUUCAUUGCACAAUUAAAUACCUAUAUACAACCUCCUUACGGACCCCCACUCAAGGCCCAAUACUUCUAAGCCCAAAUUUGGGGUGUUACAAUUCUACCCCCUUAAAGAAAUUUCGUCCUCAAAAUUUUCCACUCUCAGACUACACCACCACAUUUCCGCUGCGCACUCUGAUACUAAUAAUACUAACAUACACCCAAAACAUUUAUCCAUCGGAGUGGAUAGAUUUCACAUGCAAAUAAUUUCUACAUUUCCAGAACACACACCAAAUAAAUACUAAAUCUAAAUUCAAGCGUUACAGUUUACUCUUAACUAGUGAGAUUCAGUAUAGUGCUACUAUCUAUAGUGGUUUCUCAAUAUAGCAUUUUAAUCUAUAAUAGUAAACAGAGUUAGAGAACUUACAGAUUUGGUGCCGGAGACUCGAUGUGCCACACCUCCAGUAAUAUUUUUUCAGAAACAAGUCAAGUUUCGUUGAGAGAUUUCAAAACAAAAUUUUAGAAAAACCCUUUUCCAACCCCAAUUUCGGAAAAAGAAAAAAAAAUAACAAUAAUUUUCUGCUACCCAUACCACAGUCGAGUUUUCCAACCUGGCUCUGAUACCAUUAAAUGUAACACCCCAAACCUGGCCCAGACAUGAUGGCCGAAUCUGAUGUGCCACAUUGAAGUUAAAAACCCACGUUUCGUUUUAGUGCUUUAAAAAUUGACUUUUGUUAAGCUAACAGAGUGAAUGGGAGCUGGGCACCAGGUAGGAAUCCGUAACAGAAGAGGUGAGCCAUGAAGGCUGCUUAAGUACCAAACUCUUCUAAUGGAUCCAAUCCUAGACAUGCCCACAACCGUUGCCACACUUGGUUAAAUCGAGUUGUAAUUUAUUUAAGUUGAAAUCUUUGAUAAAUCGGAUAAUCGUGGCAUGGUGUUAUUUUGAAAACAAUUAUCAUUUUGAAAACACGUCCUAAGUCUAGCCCAUUUAUUAACAAACAGAUUAAAGUUAUUAAAAAUAAAAUAAUCCCAGAAAAAUAAUUAAAAUGGCCUUAUUACAACCCAAAAUCAAACAAUAAUAUUAAUAAGAUAAAACUUAUAAAGAAAUAAAUCGGCUACUUAUUGCAAUUAAAAGAAACAGAAACAGUAGUGUGGCCAUAUCACUGGGCCAAAGCCUUUUCAUAAAUCAUAUCAUUGGGCCAAAGCCUUUUCAUAAAUCAUUUCACUGGGCCGAAGCCUUUACUGUAAACGGUAUGGCCCAUAGGCCAAUUUCAAUAUCACAUGUAAUGUCAAUGGAUGUAUGCAAGCCCAUUUCAAUAUCACGUGAAAUACCAAUGAAUGUAUGCAAGCCCAUUUGGGGAGACUACUCAACCCACCAUCCGCUACUCUCUACCCGUACCAACCAACACACCAUGUGGGGAAUAACUCAACCCACCCAACGAACACACCACUGGCAGCAUAGCUGCUUUAUCAUAUAUCUGGAGGCUUAGCCUCUUUAAUAACUGGGGCAAAGCCCUUUUCGGUAAACUGGGGCAUAAGCCCUUUUCAAUAAACUGGGGCAUAAGCCCUUUUCGGUAAACUGGGGCAUAAGCCCUUUUGCACUUCCUCCAUCCAUAUAAAAACCCAACCCAAUGCAACAUGUCAUGUAUGCAGAAUGUCAUGCCCAUAUUUGAAUUAAACAAUCACAGUCAAGUCAUUCAUAUCACCAACAUAUAUUCACAAUCAAAUCCGUCAACCACACAGUCCAAGUCAGUCACUUGCCCACAAGGGCACAACAGUCAUUUUUCACAUUAUAAGGGUAUUGUCGUAAUUUUACCAAAUAUCAGGGUUUUUCAUGUUCAUUACAAUUAUCAAUAUUUCCGAGUGUUUAAACAAUGAUCUUUAACCCACUUUAUCAAAUUCGGGCUUUUAGGCCCAAAACCCCUAAUGGGGCCCUAUGAAUGCUGAUUUAGCAUACUUAACCCAAAUUUUACAACAAUACUAACCGUGUUAACGUGCAACUUUUCCAAAUUCCAUUUUCUAUCAAUUCUACCCAAAUCGUGCACAAAAUUGAGUUCUUACCUGUUCCAUCGAUCCAAAAACCGAUCUUAUCGUAUUUAUCGUAUCUAUACCCAAACGCAACAUUACAAGUUUCUGAAAUACCGGUAUUUUAGCAUUUCAGCUUUUCAGCAAAUAUUAAUCUAAGCUAUUACGAGGGUUAGUACACACCUGUUACGGGUUGAAGUUGAAACGUUUCCAAAAUCAAUCGCCUACGAUAACCACCACCUGUCACUCAAACUUAACUAAUCCAAUAUCAAUAUAUGUAAAUCCUAUGCACAUCUGUCAUACGAAACAUAAGGGCAUAUUCGUCAUUUUACCAUACAGGGGUAUUACAGUCACUUUACCCUACAGGGGCUUUACGGUCAGUUUACCCUACAGGGGCUUUACGAUCUUUUUACCUAAUAGGGGUAUUUUAGUCAUUUCAUCCUACAAGGGUGUUUUGGUAAAUCUACAAACCAAUGGUAUUUCAGUAAUUUUGUAAAUCAAUGGUAUUUCUAUAAUUUUUAGAAAGUCAAGGGUAUUUUUGUAACUUUGUAAAUAAGGGGUAUUUUGGUAAUUUUACAAAUUGAGGGUAUUUUGGUAAUUUCACAAACCAAGGGUAUUUUGGUAAUUUUACAAACUAGGGGUAUUUUGGUAAUUUUACAAACUAAGGGUAUUUUAGUAAUUUUGUAAAUCGAGGGUAAAAUAGUAAUUCUGUAAAUCAAGGGUAAAACAGUAAUUCUAUAAAUCGAGGGUAAAACGGUAAUUCUAUAAAUCGAGGGUAAAACGGUAAUUCUGUAAGUCAAGGGAAAAACAAUAAUUAUGUAAAUCGGGGGUAAAACGGUAAUUAUGUAAAUUGGGGGUAAAAUGGUAAUUCUGUAAACCGAGGGUAAAACGGUAAUUCUGUAAGUCGAGGGUAAAACGAUAAUUAUGUAAAUCAGGGGUAAAACGGUAAUUAUGUAAAUCGGGGGUAAAACGGUAAUUCUGUAAAUCGGGGGUACUUUGGUAAUUUUACAAGUCGAAUCAGUAAUUUUACAAAUCGAGGGUAUUUCAGUAUUUUUACAAACUAAGGGUAUUUCGGUAAUUUUAGUAAACUAAAGUAUUCUAAACAGGAAUAACAAUACGUAUGGGCCUAAAACCUAUUCUAAGCCCAAAUGGGCCCACACGCUCUUGUGGCCCUUUUAGCCCAAAUCUAGCCACAGAUAUGAGAUUCACUUAGCCUAGUCUAAUAUUUACUACACAAUCAAACAACUUAUCCAAUUAGGCCCGUAGGCCCAUUGGGCCCACUGGCCCCUUUCGGCCCGAAGUAGCCAUCCUAUAGCUAGAGUAGUGAGAAAUACACACCUGAUAGGAGACUGGAGUUAAUCCACGCUCCGAGCACUCUUAGCCGACGCCCAACCCAAACGAGCACGCCAUACAGCGAAAGGGAUCAG
RNAcentral lists this long non-coding RNA (4662 nucleotides) under Gossypium barbadense (sea-island cotton). Its description in RNAcentral is "long non-coding RNA (GBAR_LNC004636)". The record is from RNAcentral. Lineage: Eukaryota; Viridiplantae; Streptophyta; Magnoliopsida; Malvales; Malvaceae.